RNAcentral lists this ribosomal RNA (2926 nucleotides) under Escherichia coli. RNAcentral describes it as "bacterial LSU rRNA". It matches the Rfam family "Bacterial large subunit ribosomal RNA". Lineage: Bacteria; Pseudomonadati; Pseudomonadota; Gammaproteobacteria; Enterobacterales; Enterobacteriaceae. The record is from RNAcentral.
GGGUUGUGAGGUUAAGCGACUAAGCGUACACGGUGGAUGCCCUGGCAGUCAGAGGCGAUGAAGGACGUGCUAAUCUGCGAUAAGCGUCGGUAAGGUGAUAUGAACCGUUAUAACCGGCGAUUUCCGAAUGGGGAAACCCAGUGUGUUUCGACACACUAUCAUUAACUGAAUCCAUAGGUUAAUGAGGCGAACCGGGGGAACUGAAACAUCUAAGUACCCCGAGGAAAAGAAAUCAACCGAGAUUCCCCCAGUAGCGGCGAGCGAACGGGGAGGAGCCCAGAGCCUGAAUCAGUGUGUGUGUUAGUGGAAGCGUCUGGAAAGGCGCGCGAUACAGGGUGACAGCCCCGUACACAAAAAUGCACAUACUGUGAGCUCGAUGAGUAGGGCGGGACACGUGGUAUCCUGUCUGAAUAUGGGGGGACCAUCCUCCAAGGCUAAAUACUCCUGACUGACCGAUAGUGAACCAGUACCGUGAGGGAAAGGCGAAAAGAACCCCGGCGAGGGGAGUGAAAAAGAACCUGAAACCGUGUACGUACAAGCAGUGGGAGCCUCUUUAUGGGGUGACUGCGUACCUUUUGUAUAAUGGGUCAGCGACUUAUAUUCUGUAGCAAGGUUAACCGAAUAGGGGAGCCGAAGGGAAACCGAGUCUUAACUGGGCGUUAAGUUGCAGGGUAUAGACCCGAAACCCGGUGAUCUAGCCAUGGGCAGGUUGAAGGUUGGGUAACACUAACUGGAGGACCGAACCGACUAAUGUUGAAAAAUUAGCGGAUGACUUGUGGCUGGGGGUGAAAGGCCAAUCAAACCGGGAGAUAGCUGGUUCUCCCCGAAAGCUAUUUAGGUAGCGCCUCGUGAAUUCAUCUCCGGGGGUAGAGCACUGUUUCGGCAAGGGGGUCAUCCCGACUUACCAACCCGAUGCAAACUGCGAAUACCGGAGAAUGUUAUCACGGGAGACACACGGCGGGUGCUAACGUCCGUCGUGAAGAGGGAAACAACCCAGACCGCCAGCUAAGGUCCCAAAGUCAUGGUUAAGUGGGAAACGAUGUGGGAAGGCCCAGACAGCCAGGAUGUUGGCUUAGAAGCAGCCAUCAUUUAAAGAAAGCGUAAUAGCUCACUGGUCGAGUCGGCCUGCGCGGAAGAUGUAACGGGGCUAAACCAUGCACCGAAGCUGCGGCAGCGACGCUUAUGCGUUGUUGGGUAGGGGAGCGUUCUGUAAGCCUGCGAAGGUGUGCUGUGAGGCAUGCUGGAGGUAUCAGAAGUGCGAAUGCUGACAUAAGUAACGAUAAAGCGGGUGAAAAGCCCGCUCGCCGGAAGACCAAGGGUUCCUGUCCAACGUUAAUCGGGGCAGGGUGAGUCGACCCCUAAGGCGAGGCCGAAAGGCGUAGUCGAUGGGAAACAGGUUAAUAUUCCUGUACUUGGUGUUACUGCGAAGGGGGGACGGAGAAGGCUAUGUUGGCCGGGCGACGGUUGUCCCGGUUUAAGCGUGUAGGCUGGUUUUCCAGGCAAAUCCGGAAAAUCAAGGCUGAGGCGUGAUGACGAGGCACUACGGUGCUGAAGCAACAAAUGCCCUGCUUCCAGGAAAAGCCUCUAAGCAUCAGGUAACAUCAAAUCGUACCCCAAACCGACACAGGUGGUCAGGUAGAGAAUACCAAGGCGCUUGAGAGAACUCGGGUGAAGGAACUAGGCAAAAUGGUGCCGUAACUUCGGGAGAAGGCACGCUGAUAUGUAGGUGAAGCGACUUGCUCGUGGAGCUGAAAUCAGUCGAAGAUACCAGCUGGCUGCAACUGUUUAUUAAAAACACAGCACUGUGCAAACACGAAAGUGGACGUAUACGGUGUGACGCCUGCCCGGUGCCGGAAGGUUAAUUGAUGGGGUUAGCGGUAACGCGAAGCUCUUGAUCGAAGCCCCGGUAAACGGCGGCCGUAACUAUAACGGUCCUAAGGUAGCGAAAUUCCUUGUCGGGUAAGUUCCGACCUGCACGAAUGGCGUAAUGAUGGCCAGGCUGUCUCCACCCGAGACUCAGUGAAAUUGAACUCGCUGUGAAGAUGCAGUGUACCCGCGGCAAGACGGAAAGACCCCGUGAACCUUUACUAUAGCUUGACACUGAACAUUGAGCCUUGAUGUGUAGGAUAGGUGGGAGGCUUUGAAGUGUGGACGCCAGUCUGCAUGGAGCCGGCCUUGAAAUACCACCCUUUAAUGUUUGAUGUUCUAACGUUGGCCCCUGAUCGGGGUUGCGGACAGUGUCUGGUGGGUAGUUUGACUGGGGCGGUCUCCUCCUAAAGAGUAACGGAGGAGCACGAAGGUUGGCUAAUCCUGGUCGGACAUCAGGAGGUUAGUGCAAUGGCAUAAGCCAGCUUGACUGCGAGCGUGACGGCGCGAGCAGGUGCGAAAGCAGGUCAUAGUGAUCCGGUGGUUCUGAAUGGAAGGGCCAUCGCUCAACGGAUAAAAGGUACUCCGGGGAUAACAGGCUGAUACCGCCCAAGAGUUCAUAUCGACGGCGGUGUUUGGCACCUCGAUGUCGGCUCAUCACAUCCUGGGGCUGAAGUAGGUCCCAAGGGUAUGGCUGUUCGCCAUUUAAAGUGGUACGCGAGCUGGGUUUAGAACGUCGUGAGACAGUUCGGUCCCUAUCUGCCGUGGGCGCUGGAGAACUGAGGGGGGCUGCUCCUAGUACGAGAGGACCGGAGUGGACGCAUCACUGGUGUUCGGGUUGUCAUGCCAAUGGCACUGCCCGGUAGCUAAAUGCGGAAGAGAUAAGUGCUGAAAGCAUCUAAGCACGAAACUUGCCCCGAGAUGAGUUCUCCCUGAGACUUUAAGUCUCCUGAAGGAACGUUGAAGACGACGACGUUGAUAGGCCGGGUGUGUAAGCGCAGCGAUGCGUUGAGCUAACCGGUACUAAUGAACCGUGAGGCUUAACCUUACAACGCCGAAG